RNAcentral lists this ribosomal RNA (315 nucleotides) under uncultured bacterium. RNAcentral describes it as "partial 16S ribosomal RNA". It matches the Rfam family "Bacterial small subunit ribosomal RNA", at positions 355 to 662 of the family's 1533-position model. The record is from RNAcentral.
UGGGGAAUAUUGCACAAUGGGCGCAAGCCUGAUGCAGCCAUGCCGCGUGUGUGAAGAAGGCCUUCGGGUUGUAAAGCACUUUCAGCGAGGAGGAAGGGUUCAGUGUUAAUAGCACUGUUCAUUGACGUUACUCGCAGAAGAAGCACCGGCUAACUCCGUGCCAGCAGCCGCGGUAAUACGGAGGGUGCAAGCGUUAAUCGGAAUUACUGGGCGUAAAGCGCACGCAGGCGGUUUGUUAAGUCAGAUGUGAAGUCCCCGCGCUUAACGUGGGAACUGCAUUUGAAACUGGCAAGCUAGAGUCUUGUAGAGGGGGGU